This is a non-coding RNA of Punica granatum (pomegranate), 1171 nucleotides long. The record is from RefSeq and is a predicted model, not a curated record. Lineage: Eukaryota; Viridiplantae; Streptophyta; Magnoliopsida; Myrtales; Lythraceae.
AAAAAUCAAGGAAAUGGCAAACUGAUCAGCUUCCUUCUAAGUCCCACACUUCCCUCCUCUGCACCUAAUUAUCUUCCUAUCCUCCUCCUUAACCUUGUUAGCUGCUCUGCUUUAACAGAGGGCAAUGCUGUCGGGAAAUAUAGAACGCUGUUCGUCUUCGGGGACUAGCUGUUCGAUCCUGGGAACAACCAGUACUUGAACACUUUGAAUGGCGCGGACCCGACAACCUCGUUUCCCAAUGGCAAAGUCUUAUUUCCAUCGGGGUACUGGCAGGGGCUUCGAUGGCUGUCUAGUCCCGGAUUUCAUUGCUCAAUUUGCUAGGUUGCCUUUAAUCCCACCUUACUUGCAACCCGGAGCUCGCCAGUUUACCUGAUGGGGCAAGCUUUGCUUCGGGUGGUGCCUGCGUUCUCCCUAGCAGCCAUGGCAGAUCGAUUGAUCUGUCGACGCAGCUGAGCUACUUCAAGGAGGUGGAAGAGUCGCUUAGGGAGAAGUAUGGAGUUGCAGGGGCAAGAAAUGUGCUGGGAAGUGCGGUUUAUUUGUUCAGCGUCGGAGGCAAUGACUACGUACAGUUUUACAUGUCGAAGCCAAAUGCCACUCAGUCCGAUCGAAGGGCUUACGUAGGGGAAGUAGUUGGCAAUAUCACGGCCGUGUUAAGCGAGAUAUACAGGUUGGGAGGAAGGAAGAUUGGGUUCUAGAACGUCGGGCCCAUAGGGUGUCUCCCGGGGGAGCACGUAAAGAGCCCGAACGCUAGCAAAUGGUGCGCCAAGAAGCUCCUGGCGCACUCCCGGCUCCACAAUAGGAUGCUGGCCAUUGCCCUCAGGAAGUUAGAGGGCUAACCGCCCGGAUUCAAGUACUCCAUCUUUGAUUACUACAACUCCCUCAAAGACAAAAUCUUCAAUCCUUCAAAAUAUGGUUUCAACUUUCAAGGAUGGGCAGGGGGUUUGUGGCAGGAGUGGGCCCUACAGAGCAAUGGGCUGUGGUAGUGGGGCCGGCAACGUGGUUCGAUGGGGGCCACAAAACCCACAGAACCAAUUACCAGUUAGCUCAGGUCAUGUGGAGUGGGCCCUCCUCUGUCACCGCCCCGUACAACCUCGGGCAGCUCUUUGUGAAUUAAUUAAUACAAAAAAGUUCUUCCCUUCAAUACUGAAGUGUCUUUCGUUUCUCAUGUGGA